Molecule: ribosomal RNA, 52 nt
Filed under: Bipolaris maydis (southern corn leaf blight pathogen)
Lineage: Eukaryota; Fungi; Ascomycota; Dothideomycetes; Pleosporales; Pleosporaceae
Description: partial 28S ribosomal RNA
Source: RNAcentral
UUGACCUCGGAUCAGGUAGGGAUACCCGCUGAACUUAAGCAUAUCAAAGGCG